Molecule: ribosomal RNA, 253 nt
Filed under: uncultured bacterium
Lineage: Bacteria
Description: partial 16S ribosomal RNA
Rfam family: Bacterial small subunit ribosomal RNA
Source: RNAcentral
UACGGAGGGUGCAAGCGUUAUCCGGAUUCACUGGGUUUAAAGGGUGCGUAGGUGGGAAUGUAAGUCAGUGGUGAAAUCUCCGUGCUUAACAUGGAAACUGCCAUUGAUACUAUGUUUCUUGAAUUUUCUGGAGGUAAGCGGAAUAUGUCAUGUAGCGGUGAAAUGCUUAGAUAUGACAUAGAACACCAAUUGCGAAGGCAGCUUGCUACAGGGAUAUUGACACUGAGGCACGAAAGCGUGGGGAGCAAACAGG